ACUGGGCGUAAAGCGCGUGUAGGCGGGACGGCAAGUCGGACGUGAAAGGCUCGGGCUCAACCGGAGAGGGCCGUUCGAAACGGCCGUCCUUGAGGGUCGGAGAGGAGCGUGGAACUCCUGGUGGAGCGGUGAAAUGCGUAGAGAUCAGGAGGAACACCCGUGGCGAAGGCGGCGCUCUGGCCGGCCCCUGACGCUGAGACGCGACAGCGUGGGGAGCGAACGGGAUUAGAUACCCCGGUAGUCCACGCCGUAAACGAUGGUCACUAAGUGUCGGCGGUAUCGGCCCCGCCGGUGCCGCAGCUUACGCAGUAAGUGAUCCGCCUGGGGAGUACGCACGCAAGUGUGAAACUCAAAGGAAUUGACGGGGGCCCGCACAAGCGGUGGAGCAUGUUGUUUAAUUCGAAGCGACGCGAAGAACCUUACCAGGCCUUGACAUGCCCGGAACCCCUCUGAAAGGAGGGGGUGCCCGCAAGGGAGCCGGGACACAGGUGCUGCAUGGCCGUCGUCAGCUCGUGUCGUGAGAUGUUGGGUUAAGUCCCGCAACGAGCGCAACCCCUAUCCCUAGUUGCCAGCAGUUCGGCUGGGCACUCUAUGGAGACUGCCUGCGAAAGCAGGAGGAAGGCGGGGAUGACGUCUGGUCCGCAUGGCCCUUACGGCCUGGGCGAUACACGUGCUACAAUGCCAAGGACAGAGCGCUGCUACCUCGCGAGAGGACGCCAAUCGCAAAGACCUUGGCUCAGUUCGGAUUGGAGUCUGCAACUCGACUCCAUGAAGCCGGAAUCGCUAGUAAU
RNAcentral lists this ribosomal RNA (791 nucleotides) under uncultured Meiothermus sp. RNAcentral's name for it is "bacterial SSU rRNA". It matches the Rfam family "Bacterial small subunit ribosomal RNA", at positions 553 to 1342 of the family's 1533-position model. Lineage: Bacteria; Thermotogati; Deinococcota; Deinococci; Thermales; Thermaceae. The record is from RNAcentral.